GACGAACGCUGGCGGCGUGCCUAAUACAUGCAAGUAGAACGCUGAAGGAGGAGCUUGCUCUUCUGGAUGAGUUGCGAACGGGUGAGUAACGCGUAGGUAACCUGCCUGGUAGCGGGGGAUAACUAUUGGAAACGAUAGCUAAUACCGCAUAAGAGUAGAUGUUGCAUGACAUUUACUUAAAAGGUGCAAUUGCAUCACUACCAGAUGGACCUGCGUUGUAUUAGCUAGUUGAUGGGGUAACGGCUUACCAAGGCGACGAUACAUAGCCGACCUGAGAGGGUGAUCGGCCACACUGGGACUGAGACACGGCCCAGACCCCUACGGGAGGCAGCAGUAGGGAAUCUUCGGCAAUGGACGGAAGUCUGACCGAGCAACGCCGCGGGAGUGAAGAAGGUUUUCGGAUCGUAAAGCUCUGUUGUAAGAGAAGAACGAGUGUGAGAGUGGAAAGUUCACACUGUGACGGUAUCUUACCAGAAAGGGACGGCUAACUACGUG
This 495-nucleotide ribosomal RNA is filed under the name uncultured bacterium. RNAcentral's name for it is "partial 16S ribosomal RNA". It matches the Rfam family "Bacterial small subunit ribosomal RNA", at positions 28 to 507 of the family's 1533-position model. The record is from RNAcentral.